RNAcentral lists this ribosomal RNA (500 nucleotides) under uncultured bacterium. Its description in RNAcentral is "partial 16S ribosomal RNA". It matches the Rfam family "Bacterial small subunit ribosomal RNA", at positions 899 to 1397 of the family's 1533-position model. The record is from RNAcentral.
ACUCAAAUGAAUAGACGGGGGCCCGCACAAGCGGUGGAGCAUGUGGUUUAAUUCGACGCAACGCGAAGAACCUUACCUGGGCUCGAAAUGCUGCAGAUCAGCCUGUGAAAGCAGGUCUUCCCGCAAGGGACUGUAGUAUAGGUGCUGCAUGGCUGUCGUCAGCUCGUGUCGUGAGAUGUUGGGUUAAGUCCCGCAACGAGCGCAACCCUUGUCCUGUGUUGCCAUACUUAAUAAGUGGAACUCGCAGGAGACCGCCAGGGAUAACCUGGAGGAAGGUGGGGAUGACGUCAAGUCCUCAUGGCCUUUAUGUCCAGGGCUACACACGUGCUACAAUGGACGGUACAAAGGGCUGCCAACCCGCGAGGGGGAGCCAAUCCCAAAAAACCGUUCUCAGUUCGGAUUGCAGGCUGCAACUCGCCUGCAUGAAGCUGGAAUCGCUAGUAAUGGCAGAUCAGAACGCUGCCGUGAAUACGUUCCCGGGCCUUGCACACACCGCCCGU